GACAGAGGUGCCAAGCGUUAGGCGGAAUCACUGGGCUUAAAGCGCGUGUAGGCGGACUUCUAAGUGCUUUGUGAAAUCCCACGGCUCAACCGUGGAACUGCUUGGCAUACUGGGAGUCUUGAGCCACUCAGGGGCUACUGGAACAAACGGUGGAGCGGUGAAAUGCAUAGAUAUCGUUUGGAACGCCAACGGUGAAAACAGGUAGCUGGGGGUGCGCUGACGCUGAGAAGCGAAAGCCAGGGGAUCAAACGGG
RNAcentral lists this ribosomal RNA (253 nucleotides) under uncultured bacterium. RNAcentral describes it as "partial 16S ribosomal RNA". It matches the Rfam family "Bacterial small subunit ribosomal RNA", at positions 524 to 776 of the family's 1533-position model. The record is from RNAcentral.